RNAcentral lists this ribosomal RNA (497 nucleotides) under uncultured bacterium. RNAcentral describes it as "partial 16S ribosomal RNA". It matches the Rfam family "Bacterial small subunit ribosomal RNA", at positions 28 to 507 of the family's 1533-position model. The record is from RNAcentral.
GAUGAACGCUGGCGGCGUGCCUAAUACAUGCAAGUCGAGCGAACGGACGAGAAGCUUGCUUCUCUGAUGUUAGCGGCGGACGGGUGAGUAACACGUGGAUAACCUACCUAUAAGACUGGGAUAACUUCGGGAAACCGGAGCUAAUACCGGAUGAUAUUUUGAGCCGCAUGGUUCAAAAGUGAAAGACGGUCUUGCUGUCACUUAUAGAUGGAUCCGCGCUGCAUUAGCUAGUUGGUAAGGUAACGGCUUACCAAGGCAACGAUGCAUAGCCGACCUGAGAGGGUGAUCGGCCACACUGGAACUGAGACACGGUCCAGACUCCUACGGGAGGCAGCAGUAGGGAAUCUUCCGCAAUGGGCGAAAGCUUGACGGAGCAACGCCGCGUGAGUGAUGAAGGUCUUCGGAUCGUAAAACUCCGUUAUUAGGGAAGAACAUAUGUGUAAGUAACUGUGCACAUCUUGACGGUACCUAAUCAGAAAGCCACGGCUAACUACGUG